GACGAACGCUGGCGGCGUGCUUAAUACAUGCAAGUCUAAGGGUUUAUCUUCCUUCGGGAAGAUAGACACUGGCGCACGGGUGAGUAACACGUAAGUCAUCUGCCCUUGGGUCUGGCACAACUCCGGGAAACCGGGGCUAAUUCCAGAUGAUACCGAAAGGUCAAAGUUUCGACGCCCAAGGAUGAGCUUGCGUCUGAUUAGCUAGUUGGCGGGGUAAUGGCCCACCAAGGCGACGANCAGUAGCCGGUCUGAGAGGAUGAUCGGCCACAUUGGGACUGAGACACGGCCCAGACUCCUACGGGAGGCAGCAGUAAGGAAUAUUGCGCAAUGGACGAAAGUCUGACGCAGCAACGCCGCGUGCAGGAUGACGGCCCUUUGGGUUGUAAACUGCUGUAGCAGGGGAAUAAGAGCCCACGUCGGUGGGUGUGAAGGUACCCUGAAAGUAAGCUCCGGCUAACUACGUGCCAGCCGCCGCAGUAAC
RNAcentral lists this ribosomal RNA (481 nucleotides) under uncultured bacterium. RNAcentral describes it as "bacterial SSU rRNA". It matches the Rfam family "Bacterial small subunit ribosomal RNA", at positions 28 to 524 of the family's 1533-position model. The record is from RNAcentral.